UGGCAACGAUAGCGCGGUGGUCCCACCUGACCCCAUGCCGAACUCAGAAGUGAAACGCCGUAGCGCCGAUGGUAGUGUGGGGUCUCCCCAUGUGAGAGUAGGGCAUUGCCA
This 111-nucleotide ribosomal RNA is filed under the name Enterobacter cloacae. The record is from RNAcentral. RNAcentral also lists the same sequence under 6 other names. Lineage: Bacteria; Pseudomonadati; Pseudomonadota; Gammaproteobacteria; Enterobacterales; Enterobacteriaceae.